GACUCUCGGCAAUGGAUAUCUCGGCUCUCGCAUCGAUGAAGAGCGCAGCGAAAUGCGAUACGUGGUGCGAAUUGCAGAAUCCCGCGAACCAUCGAGUCUUUGAACGCAAGUUGCGCCCGAGGCCAACCGGCCAAGGGCACGUCUGCCUGGGCGUCAAGCGUUG
RNAcentral lists this ribosomal RNA (163 nucleotides) under Eulophia graminea. Its description in RNAcentral is "5.8S ribosomal RNA". It matches the Rfam family "5.8S ribosomal RNA". From Rfam's summary of the family: 5.8S ribosomal RNA (5.8S rRNA) is a component of the large subunit of the eukaryotic ribosome. It is transcribed by RNA polymerase I as part of the 45S precursor that also contains 18S and 28S rRNA. The record is from RNAcentral. Lineage: Eukaryota; Viridiplantae; Streptophyta; Magnoliopsida; Asparagales; Orchidaceae.